AGAUGUGAGGAUGAUCUGGCUGUGAUAGAUGGCCCCCUUACUUGAUCCCUGGCUAGGUGGGUGUCUCCUUCUUCCCUUACACUUUCACAAGUGCCUAUCUUGAAACUGAGCACCCAGAUGAAGAGGAUGACUCUCCCUGGACAGAGAAGGGGCCAGACUUCAACCAAGGGUGUGUAAGUAGCUCUGCCCCCAUUAGGAUAACCAGACAAGCUCUCAAGGGUAAAAUACACCUUUGGCCUAAACAACCCUCUUUCCUAUCCUGACCUCUUCA
This is an unclassified non-coding RNA of Mesocricetus auratus (golden hamster), 271 nucleotides long. Its record names the gene 7SK. It matches the Rfam family "7SK RNA". Rfam says of the family: 7SK was discovered as an abundant small nuclear RNA in the mid-70s but a possible function has only recently been suggested. Two independent studies have found that 7SK RNA binds the CDK9/cyclin T complex (known as elongation factor P-TEFb). Lineage: Eukaryota; Metazoa; Chordata; Mammalia; Rodentia; Cricetidae. The record is from Ensembl.